UGNUCUGUCACUGACGCUGAGGCUCGAAAGCGUGGGUAGCGAACAGGAUUAGAUACCCUGGUAGUNCACGCCGUAAACGAUGAGUGCUAGGUGUUAGGCCCUUUCCGGGGCUUAGUGCCGGAGCUAACGCAAUAAGCACCCCGCCUGGGGAGUACGACCGCAAGGUUGAAACUCAAAGGAAUUGACGGGGGCCCGCACAAGCGGUGGAGCAUGUGGUUUAAUUCGAAGCAACGCGAAGAACCUUACCAGGUCUUGACAUCCCGAUGCUAUUCUUAGAGAUAGGAAGUUACUUCGGUACAUCGGAGACAGGUGGUGCAUGGUUGCCGUCAGCUCGUGUCGUGAGAUGUUGGGUUAAGUCCCGCAACGAGCGCAACCCUUAUUGUUAGUUGCCAUCAUUAAGUUGGGCACUCUAGCGAGACUGCCGGUAAUAAACCGGAGGAAGGUGGGGAUGACGUCAAAUCAUCAUGCCCCUUAUGACCUGGGCUACACACGUGCUACAAUGGUCGGUACAACGAGUUGCGAGCCGGUGACGGCAAGCUAAUCUCUGAAAGCCGAUCUCAGUUCGGAUUGGAGGCUGCAACUCGCCUCCAUGAAGUCGGAAUCGCUAGUAAUCGCGGAUCAGCACGCCGCGGUGAAUACGUUCCCGGGCCUUGUACAC
Molecule: ribosomal RNA, 658 nt
Filed under: uncultured bacterium
Lineage: Bacteria
Description: bacterial SSU rRNA
Rfam family: Bacterial small subunit ribosomal RNA
Source: RNAcentral